GUCAGCACCAUCUCCAUGGCCAGAGACUUGCCCACCGCACGGGUCAGACGCUGGGUGCCCCCUGCCCCUGUAGCAAGACAAGACAUCAUGAGCUGAGCGCAACGAAGAGAAGUUUGCAGAGCUGGUGAUCGACGUAGCUUAACUUGACAUUGAUUGUCGUUUAAAACACUCACCCGAGCUGCACAGGCGGACGGCAGUCGAGAGCAAGGCGGGUGUUGCUCGGCUCAAUUUCAGCAGUGCGGCAGCAUUUCUGCAAACAAA
Molecule: long non-coding RNA, 261 nt
Organism: Phyllopteryx taeniolatus (common seadragon)
Lineage: Eukaryota; Metazoa; Chordata; Actinopteri; Syngnathiformes; Syngnathidae
Exons: 2
Source: RefSeq, a predicted model, not a curated record